Molecule: ribosomal RNA, 468 nt
Filed under: uncultured bacterium
Lineage: Bacteria
Description: partial 16S ribosomal RNA
Rfam family: Bacterial small subunit ribosomal RNA
Source: RNAcentral
GACGAACGCUGGCGGCGUGCUUAACACAUGCAGGUCGAACGGAAAGGCCCUGCUUUUGUGGGGUGCUCGAGUGGCGAACGGGUGAGUAACACGUGAGUAACCUGCCCUUGACUUUGGGAUAACUUCAGGAAACUGGGGCUAAUACCGGAUAGGAGCUCCUGCUGCAUGGUGGGGGUUGGAAAGUUUCGGCGGUUGGGGAUGGACUCGCGGCUUAUCAGCUUGUUGGUGGGGUAGUGGCUUACCAAGGCUUUGACGGGUAGCCGGCCUGAGAGGGUGACCGGCCACAUUGGGACUGAGAUACGGCCCAGACUCCUACGGGAGGCAGCAGUGGGGAAUAUUGCACAAUGGGCGGAAGCCUGAUGCAGCAACGCCGCGUGCGGGAUGACGGCCUUCGGGUUGUAAACCUCUUUCGCCUGUGACGAAGCGUGAGUGACGGUAAUGGGUAAAGAAGCACCGGCUAACUACGUG